GUACCCCACAUAUCAGAUAUUAAACUGAUAAGAACAGAUACUACACUUGAUCUUAGCCAAAAGGCCGAGAAAGGUAUGAGUUCAAGGUGCUGCCCUGCCCCUCUAUUUGUAUCCCCAGCGCCCUCCGUCCCCUCCUCGCUCGGCGAGGUGGUACUAAACGAAACUAGCUGCUUGCUUGCCUCUCGCCGUCCCGCGCACGCGGAGCGCCUGCCUCUUGCGUGGGCCUGA
This 228-nucleotide ribosomal RNA is filed under the name Triticum aestivum (bread wheat). Its description in RNAcentral is "partial small subunit ribosomal RNA". Lineage: Eukaryota; Viridiplantae; Streptophyta; Magnoliopsida; Poales; Poaceae. The record is from RNAcentral.